GUCUCCCUUGUUAUUANNUGCAGUCGACGAUGAAGCCCUUCGGGGUGGAUUAGUGGCGAACGGGUGAGUAACACGUGGGCAAUCUGCCCUUCACUCUGGGACAAGCCCUGGAAACGGGGUCUAAUACCGGAUACCACUCCUGCCUGCAUGGGCGGGGGUUGAAAGCUCCGGCGGUGAAGGAUGAGCCCGCGGCCUAUCAGCUUGUUGGUGGGGUAAUGGCCCACCAAGGCGACGACGGGUAGCCGGCCUGAGAGGGCGACCGGCCACACUGGGACUGAGACACGGCCCAGACUCCUACGGGAGGCAGCAGUGGGGAAUAUUGCACAAUGGGCGAAAGCCUGAUGCAGCGACGCCGCGUGAGGGAUGACGGCCUUCGGGUUGUAAACCUCUUUCAGCAGGGAAGAGCGAAAGUGACGGUACCUGCAGAAGAAGCGCCGGCUAACUACGUGCCAGCAGCCGCGGUAAUACGUAGGGCGCAAGCGUUGUCCGGAAUUAUUGGGCGUAAAGAGCUCGUANGCGGCUUGUCACGUCGGAUGUGAAAGCCCGAGGCUUAACCUCGGGUCUGCAUUCGAUACGGGCUAUCUAGA
Molecule: ribosomal RNA, 587 nt
Filed under: Streptomyces sp. 0112ALTP83
Lineage: Bacteria; Bacillati; Actinomycetota; Actinomycetes; Kitasatosporales; Streptomycetaceae
Description: bacterial SSU rRNA
Rfam family: Bacterial small subunit ribosomal RNA
Source: RNAcentral